Molecule: ribosomal RNA, 662 nt
Filed under: Acinetobacter baumannii OIFC137
Lineage: Bacteria; Pseudomonadati; Pseudomonadota; Gammaproteobacteria; Moraxellales; Moraxellaceae
Description: bacterial SSU rRNA
Rfam family: Bacterial small subunit ribosomal RNA
Source: RNAcentral
AUUGAACGCUGGCGGCAGGCUUAACACAUGCAAGUCGAGCGGGGGAAGGUAGCUUGCUACCGGACCUAGCGGCGGACGGGUGAGUAAUGCUUAGGAAUCUGCCUAUUAGUGGGGGACAACAUCUCGAAAGGGAUGCUAAUACCGCAUACGUCCUACGGGAGAAAGCAGGGGAUCUUCGGACCUUGCGCUAAUAGAUGAGCCUAAGUCGGAUUAGCUAGUUGGUGGGGUAAAGGCCUACCAAGGCGACGAUCUGUAGCGGGUCUGAGAGGAUGAUCCGCCACACUGGGACUGAGACACGGCCCAGACUCCUACGGGAGGCAGCAGUGGGGAAUAUUGGACAAUGGGGGGAACCCUGAUCCAGCCAUGCCGCGUGUGUGAAGAAGGCCUUAUGGUUGUAAAGCACUUUAAGCGAGGAGGAGGCUACUUUAGUUAAUACCUAGAGAUAGUGGACGUUACUCGCAGAAUAAGCACCGGCUAACUCUGUGCCAGCAGCCGCGGUAAUACAGAGGGUGCGAGCGUUAAUCGGAUUUACUGGGCGUAAAGCGUGCGUAGGCGGCUUAUUAAGUCGGAUGUGAAAUCCCCGAGCUUAACUUGGGAAUUGCAUUCGAUACUGGUGAGCUAGAGUAUGGGAGAGGAUGGUAGAAUUCCAGGUGUAGCGGUGA